Lycium ferocissimum is the source of this 1408-nucleotide long non-coding RNA. RefSeq lists it as uncharacterized. The record is from RefSeq and is a predicted model, not a curated record. The transcript has 2 exons. Lineage: Eukaryota; Viridiplantae; Streptophyta; Magnoliopsida; Solanales; Solanaceae.
CUUUCUCCUGCAGCUCUUGUCUGGAGCUUUGUAACAGUACGCUAUUGAACUGGUUCUAAUGGCAUGGAUAUGCACUCAAUCACGUUACUUCCUUGGGAAAAGGGUCAAAUUUACCCUCCAACUAUCGUUUAUAGUUUAGAUUUGCCCUCCGUGAGAGUUUUGGUUCACAUUACCCCUCCCAUUAAGAAACUUGUGACAUUUACUCUUAUCACUAACGGAUUGCUGACUAGGAGCCCUUAACUAUCCACAUAGACGCCAUGUGUAUAUAUAAUUUUUCUUUUACUUUACAUCAUACCAAUGAAAUUUUGUCAUGUAAUUUUCUUUUUCUAUUAAAAAAAUUUACAAUACCUGAUCUUCUUCUCCAUCAAACCACCACUUCCCCUUCUUCUUCUCCGCCAUCCCCGCCCCGCCGUCCACCGCCGCCGGUUAAAUUACUAAAAAUUAACCCAUCACUUUCCCACUUUUUUACCCAAACCAUUACUUCUCCAUCUAGCUGCCACCAACAAGAAACUUGGCUCAGCAGCAAGGAAACAGCUCUAGACUCAACAACAUAGGGAAGACCCAUUUGUAAUCCAACAGUAACUACAAACCCCAUCAAAGUACUAGUUGGGAACAGCUACAAAUAUCAACAGAACUCCACUUCACCAAUUGAAAAAAAAAAAAAAAGUGAAAUUAAACAGUAACUACAAACUCCAGAUGCAAAAAAAAUCAAGCUUUAUUACUUUUAGAGACCCGUAUUUGUUUUCUCUAAAUUUUUAGCAACUAGUUAUCAAAAUAAACAAGACCCAUUUGAAUUUCAAAAAAAUAAAAAUAAACAAGACCCAUUUGGAAUUUAACAGUAACUACAAACAAGGUCUGGUUGGGUGGGAAUUUAAUUUUUAGUAAUUUAACCGGCGGCGGUGGAGGGCAGUGGACAGCGGUGACAGUGGCGGUGAAGAAGAAGGUGAAGUGGUUUGAUGGAAAAGAAGAUUAGGUAUUGUAAUUUUUUUUUUUUAAUAGAAAAAGAAAAUUACAUGGCAAAAUUUCAUUGGUAUGAUAUAAAGUAAAAGAAAAAUUAUAUAUACACAUGGCAUCUAUGUGGUAGAUAAGGGCUCCUAGUCAGCAAUCCGUUAGUGAUAAGGGUAAAUGUAACAAGUUUCACAAAGGGAGGGGUAAAUAUGAACCAAAACUCUAACGGAGGGCAAAUAUAAACUAUAAACAAUAGUUGGAGGGUAAAUUUGACCCUUUUCCCUACUUCCUAUCACUCUGCAAUUUAAAACUGAUGGUAGGUCUAGGAGCAGAUAGAUCAUGCACAAAACUUAAAAAUUGCAAUGUAGUGUGUUUCAAAUUGCAAGCGGGCUCAUUCGUCCUUGGAUCUUUUUGGGUUCGGCAGAACCCUAACGUUGGCUCAAACCCUUGUAUUUUUGUG